Vigna radiata var. radiata (mung bean) is the source of this 431-nucleotide long non-coding RNA. RefSeq lists it as uncharacterized. The transcript is spliced from 2 exons. The record is from RefSeq and is a predicted model, not a curated record. NCBI's taxonomy places the organism in Eukaryota, Viridiplantae, Streptophyta, Magnoliopsida, Fabales, Fabaceae.
AGUGAGAUUCUAAGUAGGUGCACGACAACCUCUGGUCGUGUUUGAUUGCAACGCUGAGAACACAACAUUGGACAUUUGCAGGGACAAAUUUUUGGUAGAAGAUUUGAUGAAUGGGGUAUUUCCAUGCCUUUAUGACAGCGUUGAUCAGCAGUUAGUAGCUGCAAGGUAGCAUUUUCAUUGGAUGUCAGGCUCAUGUUGAUGUUUUCAGUUGUUGUAAUGUUGAGGCUACUGACAUAUGAUUCUUCAUCUGACAUAUUUUGAGGACACGCAGUGCAAUUGUUGUUGUCUAGUUCAAUUUAUCUUCAUAUAUUUCUGGAAUAUAUCUUUUUUGGUUUUUGCAGUCUAUGGAUAAAUAUUUUGUUAACUAGUAAUGCAUUUGAGUGCAUUAUACCUGAGGAUUUAAUCCAUUUUAUUUGUUGCUGUUUCCAUCA